CGUAACACCUCCAGUGCCCCGCAGGACAGCAGGAGCAUCCGAGAGAGGACAGAGGGUGGUUUGGAAGGACAGAGGCUCAGCUCAUGGGGAACUCUGGGAAGACAGGAGGAAGACAAGGGCCGGGGUCAGGGGAGCUUGGCAGGGCUCCAGCGGCUCCAGGGGGCCCCAGCUCCUUGCACUUCUCCCCCAGCCAGUGGAGAGUUCGGAGUUCCGUUUCUGAAGCUUAGAGCUUUGUAAGGGUGACUGCUGGCUCCUGGCGGCCAUCGCCUCCCUGACCCUGAACGAGAAGCUGCUGUCCCGCGUGGUGCCCGGGGGACCAGAGCUUCCAGGAGAACUACGCAGGCAUCUUCCGUUUCCAGUUCUGGCAGUAUGGCGAGGUGGGUGGAGGUGGUGGUGGACG
RNAcentral lists this long non-coding RNA (400 nucleotides) under Heterocephalus glaber (naked mole-rat). RNAcentral describes it as "lncRNA (ENSHGLG00000039427.1)". Lineage: Eukaryota; Metazoa; Chordata; Mammalia; Rodentia; Bathyergidae. The record is from RNAcentral.